AGAGACCUCACUUUGAUUGCUGGCGGCAGAGCUUGGAGGACCAUUGAUGAAAGGUCUCAUACGUUUGUAGGCUUGGGAAGCGAAGUACCCAAAGAGACCAUGCACACGUCAACAUGGUCAUGCAUAUAGGUCAUACGAGCAGGGGAGGGAAUGAGAAAGAUGUUUGUGAUGGGUGAAAGGUAGAAUAUGUGGAUGAGGUAGUGAGAGAAUAGUGUGCAUGAAGGGUAUGUGGUGUAGAGA
RNAcentral lists this long non-coding RNA (240 nucleotides) under Vitis vinifera (wine grape). RNAcentral's name for it is "long non-coding RNA (VVIN_LNC004935)". The record is from RNAcentral. Lineage: Eukaryota; Viridiplantae; Streptophyta; Magnoliopsida; Vitales; Vitaceae.